CUAAGUGGUAUAGCGUUCGGCUGUUAACCGACUGGUCGUAGGUUCUAAUCCUAUUUGGGGAG
This 62-nucleotide transfer RNA is filed under the name Pelargonium quinquelobatum. RNAcentral describes it as "tRNA-Asn". It matches the Rfam family "tRNA", at positions 11 to 71 of the family's 71-position model. Rfam says of the family: Transfer RNA (tRNA) molecules are approximately 80 nucleotides in length. Their secondary structure includes four short double-helical elements and three loops (D, anti-codon, and T loops). The record is from RNAcentral. Lineage: Eukaryota; Viridiplantae; Streptophyta; Magnoliopsida; Geraniales; Geraniaceae.